GUGUAAAGGCAAAAGAGAGCUUGAUUGCAAGACAUACAGGUCGAGCAAGGAUGAAAAUCGGACUUAGUGAUCCGGUGGUUCUGCGUGGAAGGGCCAGCGCUCAACGGAUAAAAGCUACCCUGGGGAUAACAGGCUUAUCUCCCCCAAGAGUCCACAUCGACGGGGAGGUUUGGCACCUCGAUGUCGGCUCAUCACAUCCUGGGGCUGUAGUAGGUCCCAAGGGU
This 224-nucleotide ribosomal RNA is filed under the name Clostridioides difficile. RNAcentral describes it as "partial 23S ribosomal RNA". It matches the Rfam family "Bacterial large subunit ribosomal RNA", at positions 2349 to 2572 of the family's 2925-position model. Lineage: Bacteria; Bacillati; Bacillota; Clostridia; Peptostreptococcales; Peptostreptococcaceae. The record is from RNAcentral.